CCCUUAGAUGUUCUGGGCCGCACGCGCGCUACACUGAUACGUUCAGCGAGUAUAUAACCUUGAUUGGAAAAUCUGGGUAAUCUUUUGAAUGCGUAUCGUGCUAGGGAUAGAUUAUUGCAAUUAUUAAUCUUGAACGAGGAAUUCCUAGUAAACGCAAAUCAUCAAUUUGCAUUGAUUACGUCCCUGCCCUUUGUACACACCGCCCGUCGCACCUACCGAUUGAAUGGUCCGGUGAAGCCUCGGGAUUGUGGCCAGUUCACUUUAUUGGGAGUUGGCUGCGAGAACUUGUCUAAACCUUAUCAUUUAGAGGAAGGUGAAGUCGUAACA
This 327-nucleotide ribosomal RNA is filed under the name uncultured eukaryote. Its description in RNAcentral is "partial 18S ribosomal RNA". It matches the Rfam family "Eukaryotic small subunit ribosomal RNA", at positions 1470 to 1796 of the family's 1831-position model. The record is from RNAcentral.